Molecule: ribosomal RNA, 372 nt
Filed under: uncultured organism
Description: bacterial SSU rRNA
Rfam family: Bacterial small subunit ribosomal RNA
Source: RNAcentral
CAGAGGUCCCGAGCGUUGUUCGGAUUCACUGGGCGUAAAGGGUGCGUAGGCGGCUUUGCAAGUCUGAUGUGAAAUCUCCGGGCUCAACCCGGAAAUGGCAUUAGAAACUGUGAGGCUGGAGGCUUGGAGGGGGAACUGGAAUACUUGGUGUAGCAGUGAAAUGCGUAGAUAUCAAGUGGAACACCGGUGGCGAAGGCGAGUUCCUGGACAAGACCUGACGCUGAGGCACGAAAGCUAGGGGAGCAAACAGGAUUAGAUACCCUGGUAGUCCUAGCUGUAAACGGUGCACGUUUGCUGUAAGCGGAAUCGACCCCGUUUGUGGCGAAGCUAACGCGAUAAACGUGCCGCCUGGGGAGUACGGUCGCAAGAUUA